This 112-nucleotide ribosomal RNA is filed under the name Salmo salar (Atlantic salmon). The record is from RNAcentral. Lineage: Eukaryota; Metazoa; Chordata; Actinopteri; Salmoniformes; Salmonidae.
GCUUACGGCCAUACCAGCCUGGGUACGCGGUCUGAUCUCGGAAGCUAAGCAGGGUCGUGCCUGGUUAGUACUUGGAUGGGAGACCGCCUGGGAAAACCAAGUGCUGUAAGCA